Perca flavescens (yellow perch) is the source of this 2881-nucleotide long non-coding RNA. RefSeq lists it as uncharacterized. The transcript is spliced from 3 exons. The record is from RefSeq and is a predicted model, not a curated record. Lineage: Eukaryota; Metazoa; Chordata; Actinopteri; Perciformes; Percidae.
GAAAGACACAGGUAUGAUUGGCAUUUAGACAAUUAAAACAUUUAUGUUUUUAAUACAUAAUAUAAUUGUCAGAUCAUUAUGUUGUUGAUUGAGGUGCUUUUCAUUGGUAAUGUUUUAUUAUAGAAAGAAAAAAGAAUGCAGACAAUCCCCAACAGAAGAAUAAAAAUCCACAGGAAGAAGAAGCAGAACAGCUGCAGGGUGUGGCUGUGACAAAUAAAUACAGAGACAGUUCAUCAGACACUGCAGAGGAAAAGUUCCAUGUUCAGUGAAAUCCAGUUGGAUGCUGACACAUACAGUAUGUAUAUUGUACAGAAAUGAAUCGGUCCAAGGUGAAUUUUGGGCACUGUGCUCCAAAGUGAACACCUGCUGGUCUGCAGCCUGCAUCACUAUCUUCCAGAGAUGUUACUGGACAGAGACUAGUCAGUCUGGAAUAACAGCUUGGAGCAAGUCCCGGACUAAGUCUGUAACGGCUCCAGGCUCUUCACUCAGAACUUCUGCUCCAUCUCUCUCACCUGGACAUUUUGCUGCUUGUACAGUGAGCUCUCCUUGUGUGUCCAUCAUUGAACUUUGUCCUGCAGACUGUAGCUUCAUCAGGACACCGAGGCUGUCAGGCCGUGAUGGUGGUCUGGUAGUGAUUUUUAGAAAUAGCUUUAACUAUCGGUUGCUUAGCACCGAGACUGUCCUCUCAUUUGAACUCAAUAUGACUCGGAAAAAAGGAAAAUCCUGCAUUCUGCUCUUGCUACAGCAUCGCCAUUUAUCAAGAGUAUCUUGAUGAAGGUCCAGAAGGACAGAAAAGUUUUCUUUAAUAAAUGGUGUUGCUGUAGCAAGAGCAGAGUGCAGGAUUUUCCUUUUUUCAAAGUUUGUGAUAUUUUCAAGUGCACCAGCACAGAAGAAUUGUUUCUUCGAAUAAUCUCAAUGUGACUAAAAUUGGUAAAUCAAAGCCUUUUAACUCUAUUUUAAUUUACCGACCUCACGGCCCAUCUGACCCUUUCCUGUCUGAUUUUACUGAGUUUUUAUCUUGAGUUAUAAAGUUGGUCAUAGUUUUAAUUAUUAGUUAUUUUCAUGUUGAUGAUGCUUCUAAGGCUGCAUCUGAAUUUCUUGAUAUUGCUGAGCUUUUUAACUUUAUACAACAUGUUUCUAGACCCACACAUUUAAUUCAUUUUAUAUAAGAAUGGGACAAUGCAAAUUAAUAAAACACAUGAUUAUACAGUACACGGAUUAAAAAUGCCAGAAUUGCCUAAAAGGCUAUUUAUCUUCUGUAGUCCCCUGGCCUCGAUGUUAAAAAGGCUUUUUAAAAUACAAAUAUAGAAGAAAGAAGGACAACACAAGCAGAGCAGAACUUGGCACAACUAGUUUUAGUACUGACAUGUAUUGACCAUCCAUUGUAAAACAAUGUCUUUAGUAAAAGACCAAAAUGUUUAAUUGUCUAAUAUGGUGUGGGAUUGAGUUCCACUCUCUUGACCCUCUGAUGGACCAAGCUGACUGACUAAAAGACCUUUUCUGCAACUAAAUAACCCAACCUUCCCUCUCUCUCCCCUUGUGACACGAUCAGUAUCUUUUCUUGUUUAUGUCGGCAACAAGUGGCGAUGGAGCUAGGUUAUAAAUGACUUUAUAUACCAAGCACACCUUUACAUAUUUCAUUAGGUCUUUCCAGCUUAAAAUCUAGGUUUCAGUGUGCGGGGAUACUCUGGACUUAGUUUUGUCACACUGUUUUACUAUUCAUGACGUCUGAUCAUACGUGUGUUCUUUAUAAUUUGUCUUGUUUUAUAGGUCUAAUGCCCCAUAAACAUAUUUGUUUUCAGACGCAUCAUUAAUUAGAGUACAGUUGAAAAUUCCACUGCCUUAUUUAAAAAAAAAAAUCUCAAAUUCUGUAAGAAUCAUUAGGAAAAUUAGUCCACUUCUUAAUAGAUCCUGUUCAUUGACAUGAUAUUAUAGUUUAAUUUAUCCAUAUCUUCCAUAUUGUAAUGUAGUAUGGGCCAGGACAUUUAAUCCAGAAACGAUUCAUUAAGAUUGCUAUAAAUUCAAAGCCCAGGGAUCCAUCUUUUCUCUUAUUCUUUAAGCUUAAAAUACUACCUAUUAAUAACAUAAACAUUCUGCAAACAUGUAUCUUUAUCUCAAAGGUCAAAUACCAAGGCCACACUAUACCAGACCAUUUCCAACAAUGUUUCCAUAAUAGCACAAAUAUUCAUUCUAUGUCAACGAGACAAACCAGCCUGCUGUACCUUCCUCCUCCUCGUACCACCAGCAGACCACUUUAUAAAAUACGGAGGAGUUUAGUAUCUACAGCAGACAUGCAACUCAUCCUCCCUACCUGUAAACAAAAGAAAACUAAAAGAAACAUUGUGCUCAGUGGAUAUCUAGUCUCCUGACGGGCAGAUAUUGAAAUGAUUUACCAGCUUUAUGAACUCUUCUUCUGCUUUUAUUAUCUUAAUCUCCUGCCUUUGACUGUAAUCACAAAUCCUGCUAUUUCAUUUCUUUAUUGUCAUCAUUUUACAUUUUCACCAAAUUGAGUUUAAACCUUACUCUCUAAUUAUGUUUGUUAUUCUACUUUUGCCAUAUUGAGUUAAUUUCAUGUCCUUUUUUUAUUUUUAUUCAGGGAAGGUUCACUGAGAGGAAGCCUCUCUUUUGCAGGAACGCCCUGAUCACAUUGACACUGUUCCACAUUCCAUACCUGGAAAUAAUUAUAUUAUUAUACUAUGUUAUAAUGACCUGGUGAGGUCAGAAACCCAUAGAGGGGGUGGAGAAGGUCAGAUACCCCCUUACAGGUUUCUGACCUCUCCAGCACACACUUUCUCUUUCUAUGUAAAAAACAUGUGUUGUGAUUUAUGUUGUAUUAGUAUUUUUUAUGAAUGUGCAAACCCAUAAACAAUCAAACAAACCA